AAAGGCUGGAAGCAAUUGGCUAGAAAAGGCGUUCCUUUUAGAGGACAAUAAAGAACUGUAAUAGAUGGAAAGAAGAAUCGUGGAGACUAAUUGAUUGAACGAGAUAUGGAUCGAUAGGAGUAAUAAUCAUUGUAUUAAAUAUGUAAAUGCAAAGAAUAGUGAAUUAUGGAGUAGAGUUUCGCAAUUGUAUUUCAAAUGAGUUGUAAAUGAAUAAAUAAAGUAUAAACAUUUAUUAUUUGGAUA
Molecule: non-coding RNA, 243 nt
Organism: Jatropha curcas
Lineage: Eukaryota; Viridiplantae; Streptophyta; Magnoliopsida; Malpighiales; Euphorbiaceae
Source: RefSeq, a predicted model, not a curated record